This 483-nucleotide long non-coding RNA is filed under the name Homo sapiens (human). RNAcentral's name for it is "non-protein coding LINC00879:4". Lineage: Eukaryota; Metazoa; Chordata; Mammalia; Primates; Hominidae. The record is from RNAcentral.
CAUCUUGGGGCGACGGCCAGAAGUCCAGGGCUAGGAGCCUCAGCCGGCGGACGCCAGGAAACAGCAGUUACUGAUGCUACAAUAUUCCUUUAUGAAGCCAAGAACUGAACCAAAAUACAAACAACAUAAACUACCACUUGAUGAGAAGAACUUCAAAGUCAAAUUGCAAAAGGGAAAUUGAAAUAUAACCAACUAACUCAGGAGACAUCAUGGAAGAUGUCACACAGUGAAUGAUGAUGAAGCAGAAUUUUUAAAAUGUGUAGGAUUACGAGAAGUGGAUUUUCCAGUUGUGGUUUCUAUAAAGAAAAACAAACAUUCUGAAGACAGUUUUUCCAGAUUUAUUCCAGAUAUCGAUGAUUAACUUUUGAAGCUCCUCUGUUGAUUUGAACAUCCGCUGAAGCUUAUUUUUCACCUCAGAAUAGCAUCAACAUUAUUUGAAAUUCAAUUGUACUUUCUCGUUACAUUAAUAAAUCAUGGAAGUUG